This 152-nucleotide non-coding RNA is filed under the name Daucus carota subsp. sativus. RNAcentral describes it as "Bacterial large subunit ribosomal RNA". It matches the Rfam family "Bacterial large subunit ribosomal RNA", at positions 2482 to 2632 of the family's 2925-position model. The record is from Rfam by way of RNAcentral. Lineage: Eukaryota; Viridiplantae; Streptophyta; Magnoliopsida; Apiales; Apiaceae.
AUUCAAUUUCCCCAAGAGUUCACAUCGACGGGAAGGUUUGUCACCUCGAUGUCGGCUCUUCGCCACCUGGGGCUAUAGUAUGUUCCAAGGGUUAGGCUGUUCGCCUAUUAAAGCGGUACGUGAGCUGGGUUCAGAAUGUCGUGAGACAGUUC